This 2472-nucleotide long non-coding RNA is filed under the name Podarcis lilfordi (Lilford's wall lizard). The record is from RNAcentral. Lineage: Eukaryota; Metazoa; Chordata; Lepidosauria; Squamata; Lacertidae.
CGGCAACUGUCUUCAGCAGCAUUAGCUGUUUUGCCCAGUGUCUAUAGAAGCUGUCUUUGGAUGACUCACUCUGCUUGCAGUUGAGCAAUAAGAGUGUAACAGAACACAUCUCCUAUUCUUCACUCACCUGCCUUUUCCUCACUACCUGACCUCCCUCUGCUGUGGCACAUUGCUAUAUCGAAACCGAAGGGCCUCCACUGACAUUUGUUGUCCAAGGUAAGACCAACUAGCAAAACACUAAUUUCAGUUUGUUGGGGUUUUGAAUCCAGGGUUUCCUCAGCGCCCCCCGCCGCCGCCGCCGCCACCACCACCACUGUUCCUUCUUAGUACUGUAUUGAUGUUUGACCAACAGUUGAUGGUUAGAAGGCAUACAAUGCGCAGCGUCAGUUCCACACAAUAGUUUUGUCUGAUUGCAGCAACACAUUGCCAUGUCAUGUUAAGUACCAGGCUCAGAGUCCAGGAGAAGAUGAAGUUUAGCAGAGGAGCCUCCAUAUUCUAAGCAACUUCAGCAAUUAAUCAAAUUAUUUUGUUUCCUUUUCUAUCUUUCCCAUCACCCUCUUCUCUGAGCUGUAUUUGGUAUUUGUCCAGUCAGUUACGACAACUGACAUGUCAGAUGUUGGUGACAUGCAAUCAAUCAUCAAAUAUUGAAAGUUUCAGGUAGAACAGUAACAGAAGCUGAGAAUUGUAAAUAAAUUCCAGAAUUCAGCUCUUCCUACAACCUUUACAAAACAUCAUACCAAAUCAUGUGUCCUCUCAUUUCUACAACAAAUACAGCGAAUGAUGAGACCUCUUCCUAGGCACUUGUGUAGGAUUGCCAACUUUUGUUUAUAAGCUAAAUCUGGUACCUCAAUAUAAAAAUUUACAGUUUAUUGGUCAUGGAAAGCUUAGACCAUUACUUCCACGAAUCAGAAUCUGUUUAUUGAAGAAGUAGUUCCUUCUAGGAACAGGUGCUUGCAGUCCUGCAAUUAAGAUAAUCACUCUUCCGAUCUUCACACCUGAACUAUCAGUUUCCAAGAGCCUUUUAAAGGCGCAGAGGAUUAGAACUCCCCACGAUCUGUCUAAAGGUCAGGAAGAUUAACACACCAAAGCACAUUCAGUACUCUCCAACAAAAUUGUGAUCUUUUGACUCCAAAACACAGACACUCCUUUACAAGGGUGCUAAUGGAGUGGUCCCAUGUAUCUCAUAGUGCAGGUCUCUCUCCCUGGCAAGCCAUGAUUUUCAGCUAUUCAGUGCUGAUAAUCUCAAGAGUUGUCCAAAUUUCUAGGCAUGAUUGGGAGAGCUCCUGCAUCAGCAGCGUUGCUAAGUUGGUAGUCUUUGUGAAUCUGGGUGUUGACAAUUAUGGUUUGCUAUACCAUGAAGGUGAUGUGCAAAGAAACCGACUUGCCAGUUCUCUGAAAUUUUAAGGUUGAUAUCACUCCUUAGGAAUUCGCUUUCUUACGAUUCACUUGCCAUUAUACAAAACAGCUGUAUCUUGAUGAAACUUUAGAAAAUUUGUCAAGCUGUCAUGGAUGGUGUUUACUAUAUCAAAUAAGCAUUUUGCAAGAGAGCUCCUCUGCAUGUUAAUGAAACCUUCCAAAACUUGGACUGUUAAAUCAAAAGUGCUUUUUAAAGGACACUGGUAUUUUUUCAAGUGGCCUGGUAUUUCCUCUGCACAGUUUUGCAUUUUAAAUCAUUGCUUCCACUGGAAGUAUUUAAGAAUUAAUUCAACAUACUACAAAGCUGUUCACCAAAUAUAUUGCCACUCAUGGGAUAUAGCAGCCUCAAUUCCACAAUAAACUUCUACCUGUAAGUAAUCAAGUGUUCUCUCGUUAGAUAAUAAUACUUCCCCAGGUGUCCAAUCUGAUUUAACCUGUUUCAUCCCAGUCUCCAGAAAGAUUUGAGUAUAGCUUUAUGUUCUGAAUUAUUUGUUUUAUGCUGCUGCAUAAUAACUUACGUAACUGUGGCUGUUUUUAUUGAUUUUCACAUUUUAUUUACUUUCUCAUCAGGUGCAUUGUGCAUCCAAGAAGUGGUGUAUGGUCAUAGUCUCAUUGCUGAGCAAAACUUAGUGGAGUCGGAGGCCAGCCAAUCAGAAUUGUCUCUGACACGUACUUGCCUGUGGGCAGAGUCAGCAUCCAAAGUAAGUUGCAGUCCUAGGGUCAGACAAACAACAAUCCAUGUGGUCAGACGGUCCAGGGGUUAGGAAAUCCGAUGAUCAGGGAGUCAAGGAUCAAGACAAGCAGGAAGCAGCAAGGUAGGACCAGGAACUACAAGCAUUGUUAACAGCUUCUAACUGCUGCUGGGAGCUCUGCUUAAGAAGGCUGAAGCCUGCUGGUUCUCAUCAGCACCUUCUCUCCUGUGCCUUUGACGGCUGAUCAGCUGCAGGUGGAGUCACUCCCCCUUCUCCCCCUUCAGGCUGCUUGUUCAGCAGGCGAAGCUGACUCCUCGCCCAUAACACAUAUCAGUAUGAUAUAAAUAGAAAUACGCAAAUACGG